This 550-nucleotide ribosomal RNA is filed under the name uncultured bacterium. Its description in RNAcentral is "bacterial SSU rRNA". It matches the Rfam family "Bacterial small subunit ribosomal RNA", at positions 355 to 896 of the family's 1533-position model. The record is from RNAcentral.
UAGGGAAUCUUCCACAAUGGGCGCAAGCCUGAUGGAGCAACACCGCGUGAGUGAAGAAGGGUUUCGGCUCGUAAAGCUCUGUUGUUAAAGAAGAACACGUAUGAGAGUAACUGUUCAUACGUUGACGGUAUUUAACCAGAAAGUCACGGCUAACUACGUGCCAGCAGCCGCGGUAAUACGUAGGUGGCAAGCGUUAUCCGGAUUUAUUGGGCGUAAAGAGAGUGCAGGCGGUUUUCUAAGUCUGAUGUGAAAGCCUUCGGCUUAACCGGAGAAGUGCAUCGGAAACUGGAUAACUUGAGUGCAGAAGAGGGUAGUGGAACUCCAUGUGUAGCGGUGGAAUGCGUAGAUAUAUGGAAGAACACCAGUGGCGAAGGCGGCUACCUGGUCUGCAACUGACGCUGAGACUCGAAAGCAUGGGUAGCGAACAGGAUUAGAUACCCUGGUAGUCCAUGCCGUAAACGAUGAGUGCUAGGUGUUGGAGGGUUUCCGCCCUUCAGUGCCGGAGCUAACGCAUUAAGCACUCCGCCUGGGGAGUACGACCGCAAGGUUG